Small nuclear RNA from Jaculus jaculus (lesser Egyptian jerboa), 104 nucleotides. The record is from Ensembl. Lineage: Eukaryota; Metazoa; Chordata; Mammalia; Rodentia; Dipodidae.
GUGCUCACUUUGGCAGCACAUAUACUAAAAUUUGAAUGUUACAGAGAUUAUCAUGGUCCCUGCUCAAGUAUGACACGCAAAUUAAUAAAGCAUUCCAAAAAUUA